UCACUAUUGGAGCGGCCGAUAUCGGAUUAGCUAGUUGGUGAGGUAAAGGCUCACCAAGGCUGCGAUCCGUAGCUGGUUUGAGAGGACGACCAGCCACACUGGGACUGAGACACGGCCCAG
This 120-nucleotide ribosomal RNA is filed under the name uncultured bacterium. RNAcentral's name for it is "partial 16S ribosomal RNA". It matches the Rfam family "Bacterial small subunit ribosomal RNA", at positions 215 to 334 of the family's 1533-position model. The record is from RNAcentral.